CUGGGCUGGGAACAGUAUGUUCAGACAGAGCCAGGAGAAUUCAUCGCUGUGAAGUUACAGGCCUUAGUCUGAGGCUGCUCUCCAGCUUGGCGCCUGACAGAGAAAAUUGGCUUUAGGUCAGAACCCUGGUGUAAUGAAAAGGCACGCUGGAGGGAGACCUAAACCCAAGGGCGGUCCUUCAAUGCCAGGAAACUGCCAGACUUCGGGUUGGUCACUCAUCUCUCUGGGACACUGUCCCUAUGAGUGUGAAGUGAAGGUAGUAGGGGCAGCCCCAUUUCUCUGAAAUAUUGAUAAGGACAAAAUGUGUGUGGAAGCAAAACUGUAAAGUGACAAGGCUUGUGAUCAACUCUGACAGUUGUGCCUAUGCCUGUCCAGGACCUAGGAUGAAAGCAAGGGCUGGAGAACUUUAGCACAAGAUAAAGGCAGAGAGAAUCUGGACAUCCAGAGCUGAACCAUUAAGUCCAGCUGUCCUUGGAUGGAGUGAUCAGGCUAGACUCUAUGUCCUCAAAUGGAGAGCAUCUACAUAGAGUACUACUGAGAAUUCUGGGCUCCAUAAAAAGGGAGGGUAAAUAACUCAGAAGACUCUGAAGAGAGAAACCUGCUCUGAAUCUUUAUAUAGAGAUGCUCUAGGAAAUGGUCCUCUUUAGGAAUCUCUGACCCUGAUGUCCACCACUGGGCCCUUGCAACAUCAUCCAUGAUGCUGUCUCUUCUCUCCAAUGCUUCUGGCUGUGGGUCAUGGACCAGAGCACACAGAUAUUUUUAUGUCAUUGUAAUGGAUUAAUGAUGGCUCAAAAUCAAAUCUUUGCAGAAUAUCAAAGAUUCACAUCAGAGACACAAGGGUGAAAGUUCCCUUCCUUGAAAUAUAGAGCUUUAGGUUUUUGGUUUGGGGUUAUAUUUUUAAUGUUGAAUAUAUUCAUCAUAUUCUUUUAACCUAAGAAUCCAAAAUAAAAUCCACAUGGUGCCAAAGUAUGAAAGCCUUCAAAGAACAGAGAACAACUUUGGAAGCAAUAAAAUAUAUUUUUAAAAAUUUG
This 1031-nucleotide long non-coding RNA is filed under the name Cricetulus griseus (Chinese hamster). RNAcentral's name for it is "lncRNA (ENSCGRG00015043288.1)". Lineage: Eukaryota; Metazoa; Chordata; Mammalia; Rodentia; Cricetidae. The record is from RNAcentral.